GGAUCCAUCGGAGAGCUUGCUCAGAGAUGGUGAGAGUGGCGCACGGGUGCGUAACGCGUGAGCAACCUACCUCUAUCAGGGGGAUAGCCUCUCGAAAGAGAGAUUAACACCGCAUAAUAUAACUAUUCGGCAUCGUCUGGUUAUUAAAUAUUUAUAGGAUAGAGAUGGGCUCGCGUGACAUUAGCUAGUUGGUAAGGUAACGGCUUACCAAGGCGACGAUGUCUAGGGGCUCUGAGAGGAGAAUCCCCCACACUGGUACUGAGACACGGACCAGACUCCUACGGGAGGCAGCAGUAAGGAAUAUUGGUCAAUGGGCGGAAGCCUGAACCAGCCAUGCCGCGUGCAGGAUGACUGCCCUAUGGGUUGUAAACUGCUUUUGUCCGGGAAUAAACCCAGGUACGUGUACCUGGCUGAAUGUACCGGAAGAAUAAGGAUCGGCUAACUCCGUGCCAGCAGCCGCGGUAAUACGGAGGAUCCGAGCGUUAUCCGGAUUUAUUGGGUUUAAAGGGUGCGUAGGCGGCCCAUUAAGUCAGGGGUGAAAUACGGUGGCUCAACCAUCGCAGUGCCUUUGAUACUGAUGGGCUUGAAUCCAUUUGAAGUGGGCGGAAUAAGACAAGUAGCGGUGAAAUGCAUAGAUAUGUCUUAGAACUCCGAUUGCGAAGGCAGCUCACUAAGCUGGUAUUGACGCUGAUGCACGAAAGCGUGGGGAUCGAACAGGAUUAGAUACCCUGGUAGUCCACGCCCUAAACGAUGAUAACUCGAUGUUGGCGAUAGACCGCCAGCGUCCCAGCGAAAGCGUUAAGUUAUCCACCUGGGGAGUACGCCCGCAAGGGUGAAACUCAAAGGAAUUGACGGGGGCCCGCACAAGCGGAGGAGCAUGUGGUUUAUUUCGAUGAUACGCGAGGAACCUUACCCGGGCUUGAAAGUUAGUGAAGGAUGCA
Molecule: ribosomal RNA, 941 nt
Filed under: Sphingobacterium multivorum
Lineage: Bacteria; Pseudomonadati; Bacteroidota; Sphingobacteriia; Sphingobacteriales; Sphingobacteriaceae
Description: bacterial SSU rRNA
Rfam family: Bacterial small subunit ribosomal RNA
Source: RNAcentral